AAGCGUCUCAGCUGCCUGAGAGGGAAAUUGAGGCCUAGACAGCCAAAGUGGCAAGCCUUCUAAUAUCAAAGGAAUGACUGACCAUAGUGCCCAGUGUAGUGAUCUCUGUCACUAAACUGACAUUCUCUUUGGUUAAUAUUAUAGUUUAACAGAAGAAGUUCGACAGCUUUUCUCAGGUUGAAAAGAAAACAAAACAGAACGAUUUAGUUUGUCCAGCUGCUGUGCUCAGAGUUACCUUAAAGGCUCAGGUGGUGACAGCAGCGUGUUCAAUGACCUGGAUUUAUUUAUUGCCUAUUUUUAUUGUUACAACCUGGCCAUUCAGUGUCUGGCUCUCAGAGUGACCUGUGGACAUAAUACGAAUCCAUCCCAAGGGAAAUGUUCUCAGUCAACCAGACUGGUUACUCUACAUGGAAAUCAGUUGAGAAGAACUAAAACUCUAUCUUUGCUUUUCAGACUGCACUGGGGUCGUGUCUACUUUGGUAUUUUCCUGUGUGGAAGCCUCAGCGGAGUUCUGUGCCUUCAGGAUUCUACCUCCAUGCCAUGUUGACUCCCCAGGGAAGUUGAAAGCAGUCUGUCAAGAAGUGACUGAUGACUGAUGCACAUGGAAAGAGAAACAUCGACCCGAUGAGCUGCUCCAGAUUAAUGACCUAGAGGUGGCAAGGGACGUUUACACAGCCUCUGAUGUGCCCUUUGUUGUUGCCAUGCAACAAUAUGUCACCGGCUGAUUCACUCAUCUCACUGAAUAAUGAAGUGUCUCUGUGGUAAAGAAAAGCC
This 774-nucleotide long non-coding RNA is filed under the name Mus caroli (Ryukyu mouse). Its description in RNAcentral is "lncRNA (MGP_CAROLIEiJ_G0005852.1)". Lineage: Eukaryota; Metazoa; Chordata; Mammalia; Rodentia; Muridae. The record is from RNAcentral.